Small nuclear RNA from Onychomys torridus (southern grasshopper mouse), 107 nucleotides. Lineage: Eukaryota; Metazoa; Chordata; Mammalia; Rodentia; Cricetidae. The record is from RefSeq and is a predicted model, not a curated record.
AUGCUCGCUUUGGCAGCACAUAUACUAAGAUUGGAAUGAUGCAGAGAAGAUUAGAAUGGCCCCUGAGCAAGCAUGGCACGCAAAUUUGUGAAGCGUUCCAUAAUUUU